AGGUGUGUACCUGCCCAAAGUAACACAGGAUAAAUCUGGGCCAGUGAGCAUCAGUUUUAGAGUUACCACCUACUCAUUUAAGAUUGCAGGUGUCAAAAUCCCCUGGAAACUAAGCAGUAAGUGCUACAAGGCCUUAUACUCAAUAUUAGCUGACAAACUUGAGAACAACAAUCUCUAUGAUGGAAAAUGUGUGGGCGGAUCAGGCAUGGGAGGGGAGUGAUUUGUGGACUCCAGAGACUGUGCUACACAUUGUGACAGACAGCUUGUGCUAACAGCCAGGAAAGCACUCAUUUUCAGCACAAAGUUGUGGGCUUCAUUAUGGUGGUUAGAAUAUUACCCCUGUCAUUGCUGUCCAGGCUGUGCGAGGCUUUGCACUGUAUUAUGCAGAGAGCAGGGGCACCAUUUUCAGUGUGUCAGCCAGCAGAUUUCCAAAAAUGCAGGUAAGAAAGCUGUGAGAAUGAAGGGGUAAAAAACCUCACCAAUGUCUUUUCAUGUGUUUUUCAUUCUUAAGACUCAAACUUCAUUCCUUUUCUGUCAUGACCAAGGCGAUUCUACAUUCUCCAGGGGAAAACUGGAAUGUCGUGACCUUUAGGGUGAACCAGGCAUGAAGCAAGACUUGUUAUUUUCUCGCAAGCUUGGGGAAAUAUUUCAGGAAAGAAAACAGAAAAGUGUGUCUUCUUUCCUUCUGCUGCCCCAUCUCCCAAGCACCUCCGUCCUCCAUGAUCAGACUGAGGCAACUUGCAUUUAACACAAAACACUUAAUUUACACAUAUGCUUCAGUCCACGUGUAAGUUUUCUAGGUGACAACUCUAUCGGGGAAAAUGCUGUUUAGAUUGUGUGUGCAAAGUAAAUGGCUUGUAAAUACUUGAAAAAAAAAAAAGGUUAAUUUUCAGUUGUGCAAUAAACUUGUGAAAUAAUCCUCUCAA
Long non-coding RNA from Manacus vitellinus (golden-collared manakin), 926 nucleotides. RefSeq lists it as uncharacterized. The transcript is spliced from 2 exons. NCBI's taxonomy places the organism in Eukaryota, Metazoa, Chordata, Aves, Passeriformes, Pipridae. The record is from RefSeq and is a predicted model, not a curated record.